RNAcentral lists this ribosomal RNA (340 nucleotides) under uncultured eukaryote. RNAcentral describes it as "bacterial SSU rRNA". It matches the Rfam family "Eukaryotic small subunit ribosomal RNA", at positions 22 to 363 of the family's 1831-position model. The record is from RNAcentral.
AGUCAUAUGCUUGUCUCAAAGAUUAAGCCAUGCAUGUCCCAGAAUAAGUAUUUCACAACCAAUCUGCGAAUGGCUCAUUAAAACAGUUAUAGUUUCAUUGAUUGUCGCUUUUACAUGGAUAACUGUGGUAAUUCUACAGCUAAUACAUGCAUUCAAGCCCAACUCUGUGGGAGGGUUAUGCUUAUUAGUUCCAGAACCAACCUAGGCAUUGCCUGGCAGCUUGGUGAUUUAUAACAAGUGCAUGAAUCACAUGGCUUCAGCUGGUGAUAUAUCAUUUAAGUUUCUGACCUAUCAGCUUCCGACGGUAAGGUAUUGGCUUCCCGUGGCAAUGACGGGUACC